CUUAAUGGCAAAAAAUUAAUGAUAAAUAAAACAUGUUCCAAGUAAAUGGGAAAGAUAAUUAUUGAUCAUGUAUCAAAAAAAUACAUACAAAAUUGUUAAUGAAUUCAAUUAAUGAAAUUUAAUCAAAAAAUUUGAAAUGUGAUAUGUCCUGUUUUCGUUGCACUUCAAGUUUAUUCAUUUAUUUCUUUUUUAAUUGACAGGGGCUGCGUAUUGCAAAGCUAGACACUACGGAAAACGAAAAAAUGACAUUGCAAAAUGAGGAAGGAUGAUUCUGUUAAUCACAAAACAUCACCCACCCUUAGUACUUCAGGUCUGUCGCUGUAGUCUACAGGUUGACACCUUAGAGAAUAGGCUCCAGUCAGCCAGCCGGACAUCCCUAUCUGCAACCACAUUCGCCCAGAGGCCAUUCGCCAAUCAGUCAAGGGAAUAAAGAUAAUAGGUCGAUAUACGGUCGGCAGCAGGAAUAGUGUAUAUCUAAGCUUGCGAAAGAUUGUAUCGAGGCGGUCGAAGGACAUGCCAGGCUCUUUAUGCGAGAUGAGCAGGAAAGCAUAAGCUCCUCCGCAUCUAAUCGUACGCCUCUGCAUCGCCCUUGUGCAGCUAAGCCUCCGUUCGCAAAAGGAAGAUUCGGACCUAAUAUCUACAAAAUAUCACACAGUUUUUUUCAAAAUGAGUAAUCCUUCAUCCAAGAUAUAUCUAUCAGCGGUUCCACAGCUCGGUAUAAUCUGUACACCUGUCAAGGCCCAAGGCUGUAUAUACAUAUACAAUAUCGCAACGGUGAAUAAAUUGAUUCAUGUUCCACGAUCUCGGUUGAAAUUGUCGUCUCGUUGAAAUAUAUAGAUUUGUCACGUCGAA
This is a long non-coding RNA of Nylanderia fulva, 852 nucleotides long. RefSeq lists it as uncharacterized. The record is from RefSeq and is a predicted model, not a curated record. NCBI's taxonomy places the organism in Eukaryota, Metazoa, Arthropoda, Insecta, Hymenoptera, Formicidae.